GUAAUCCCUCAGGCCCGAAACUA
RNAcentral lists this non-coding RNA (23 nucleotides) under Arabidopsis thaliana (thale cress). The record is from RNAcentral. Lineage: Eukaryota; Viridiplantae; Streptophyta; Magnoliopsida; Brassicales; Brassicaceae.